This 407-nucleotide ribosomal RNA is filed under the name uncultured bacterium. RNAcentral's name for it is "partial 16S ribosomal RNA". It matches the Rfam family "Bacterial small subunit ribosomal RNA", at positions 30 to 526 of the family's 1533-position model. The record is from RNAcentral.
AUUGAACGCUGGCGGCAGGCCUAACACAUGCAAGUCGAGCGGAGCGGCGGACGGGUGAGUAAUGCCUAGGAAUCUGCCUGGUAGUGGGGGAUAACGUCCGGAAACGGGCGCUAAUACCGCAUACUAUCAGAUGAGCCUAGGUCGGAUUAGCUAGCUGGUGGGGUAAAGGCCUACCAAGGCGACGAUCCGGAACUGGUCUGAGAGGAUGAUCAUUCACACUGGGACAGAGACACGGGCCAGACUCCUACGGGAGGCAGCAGUGGGGAAUAUUGAACGAUUGGGGAAAUCCUGAUCCAGCCAUGCCGCGUGUGUGAAGAAGGUCUUCGGAUUGUAAAGCACUUUAAGUUGGGAGGCGUUACCAACAGAAUAAGCACCGACUAACUUCGUGCCAGCGGCCGCGGUAAUAC